GGAUGCGAGCGUUAUCCGGAUUUAUUGGGUUUAAAGGGUGCGUAGGUGGCUUGGUAAGUCAGCGGUAAAAUUUCGGGGCUUAACCUCGUUUAGCCGUUGAAACUGUCGAGCUCGAGAGGGAGAGAAGUAGGCGGAAUGCGCAGUGUAGCGGUGAAAUGCAUAGAUAUUGCGCAGAACUCCGAUUGCGAAGGCAGCCUACCGGCUUCUAUCUGACACUGAGGCACGAAAGCGUGGGGAUCAAACAGGAUUAGAUACCCUGGUAGUCCACGCAGUAAACGAUGAAUGCUGGCUGUUUGGGUCGAUUGAGACCUGAGUGGCGAAGCGAAAGCGAUAAGCAUUCCACCUGGGGAGUACGCCGGCAACGGUGAAACUCAAAGGAAUUGACGGGGGCCCGCACAAGCGGUGGAGCAUGUGGUUUAAUUCGACGCAACGCGAAGAACCUUACCAGGUCUUGACAUCUAGUGCAAUCUGUAGAGAUACGGAGUUCCCUUCGGGGACGCUAAGACAGGUGGUGCAUGGCUGUCGUCAGCUCGUGUCGUGAGAUGUUGGGUUAAGUCCCGCAACGAGCGCAACCCUUAUUGUUAGUUGCCAUCAUUAAGUUGGGCACUCUAGCGAGACUGCCCGGGUUAACCGGGAGGAAGGUGGGGAUGACGUCAAAUCAUCAUGCCCCUUAUGUCUAGGGCUACACACGUGCUACAAUGGUCGGUACAAUAAGACGCAAGCCCGCGAGGGGGAGCAAAACUGGAAAACCGAUCUCAGUUCGGAUUGUAGGCUGAAACUCGCCUACAUGAAGCUG
Molecule: ribosomal RNA, 796 nt
Filed under: uncultured Bacillota bacterium
Lineage: Bacteria; Bacillati; Bacillota
Description: bacterial SSU rRNA
Rfam family: Bacterial small subunit ribosomal RNA
Source: RNAcentral